UACGUAGGGGGCAUGCGUUGUCCGGAAUUAUUGGGCGUAAAGAGCGUGUAGGCGGCCAGAUAAGUCCGCUGUGAAAUCUCGAGGCUCAACUUCGAGCUGUCGGUGGAAACUAUCUGGCUAGAGUCCGGAAGAGGAGAAUGGAAUUCCUGGUGUAGCGGUGAAAUGCGCAGAUAUCAGGAAGAACACCCGUGGCGAAGGCGGUUCUCUGGGACGGUACUGACGCUGAGACGCGAAAGCGUGGGGAGCGAACAGG
Molecule: ribosomal RNA, 253 nt
Filed under: uncultured bacterium
Lineage: Bacteria
Description: partial 16S ribosomal RNA
Rfam family: Bacterial small subunit ribosomal RNA
Source: RNAcentral